RNAcentral lists this unclassified non-coding RNA (381 nucleotides) under Hevea brasiliensis (rubber tree). The record is from RNAcentral. Lineage: Eukaryota; Viridiplantae; Streptophyta; Magnoliopsida; Malpighiales; Euphorbiaceae.
CAAAUAUUUAUCAAAAUGAUCUCUACCAAUUAGACCAGUUAAAACAAAUCAUAAUUCAUUAUUUUAUCAAUGCCAUAAGAAAUCUGCAACCAGAUCUUUUAGAAUUCCAGCUACCAGGUUAAUUUUUCCCCUUAACCUUCAAAUCCUAUUCACACUAUAGCUCUUAAAGCUAUCCUUCUUUAAGUGCAUCUUGAAAUUCCAAAUGACCAAGCUACCCCAUGGUAUCUGUACAAGCAUAUAUAUAACUCACUUCUUCCCUGCUUCAACUAUUAAAGCAACCAAAUGAUUAAGAAGCCUAUAAUUUGAUGAAAUAUUAAAGGAAAAGGGGGAAAAGGAAGUUUACUUUCAAUCUUUGGUAUUGUUGACAAAAUUAUAUUCUAG